AUUGAACGCUGGCGGCAGGCUUAACACAUGCAAGUCGAGCGGGGGAAGGUAGCUUGCUACCGGACCUAGCGGCGGACGGGUGAGUAAUGCUUAGGAAUCUGCCUAUUAGUGGGGGACAACAUCUCGAAGGGGAUGCUAAUACCGCAUACGUCCUACGGGAGAAAGCAGGGGAUCUUCGGACCUUGCGCUAAUAGAUGAGCCUAAGUCAGAUUAGCUAGUUGGUGGGGUAAAGGCCUACCAAGGCGACGAUCUGUAGCGGGUCUGAGAGGAUGAUCCGCCACACUGGGACUGAGACACGGCCCAGACUCCUACGGGAGGCAGCAGUGGGGAAUAUUGGACAAUGGGGGGAACCCUGAUCCAGCCAUGCCGCGUGUGUGAAGAAGGCCUUAUGGUUGUAAAGCACUUUAAGCGAGGAGGAGGCUACUUUAGUUAAUACCUAGAGAUAGUGGACGUUACUCGCAGAAUAAGCACCGGCUAACUCUGUGCCAGCAGCCGCGGUAA
This 501-nucleotide ribosomal RNA is filed under the name uncultured bacterium. RNAcentral describes it as "partial 16S ribosomal RNA". It matches the Rfam family "Bacterial small subunit ribosomal RNA", at positions 30 to 523 of the family's 1533-position model. The record is from RNAcentral.